GUUUUCGUGGUGUAUUGGUUAUCACGUGUGCUUCAUACGCACAAGGUCCUCGGUUCGAUCCCGAGCGAAAACA
Molecule: non-coding RNA, 73 nt
Organism: Ornithodoros turicata
Lineage: Eukaryota; Metazoa; Arthropoda; Arachnida; Ixodida; Argasidae
Source: the annotation of a RefSeq genome assembly